Molecule: long non-coding RNA, 973 nt
Filed under: Lactuca sativa (garden lettuce)
Lineage: Eukaryota; Viridiplantae; Streptophyta; Magnoliopsida; Asterales; Asteraceae
Description: long non-coding RNA (LSAT_LNC008072)
Source: RNAcentral
CAGGAGAGAAUUCACAUGAGCUUUAAAAAUUCACUGCUUUUUCGCUGGCAUCGGGUUUUAAGAGGACGUAGCUAUCGUCAUCUCAUGUUGCAAGUCGGCAAUAAAUAGACUCUAAGGUGUGGGUCCCACCUUUUAUUUCCUUUAACAUCCAAGUAAAUGACUUACAAUUACUUCUUAUUUUCUCAAUAUAUAAAAUAAUGGUGGACUGUUUUCAGUUUAUGCAGAAAAAUGCUGAUUCUUUUAGUGGUAUUGUUGCCUCUUCUAGCCUCAAAAACUAACAGUAAGUGGUGGUUGAGGCUGCAUAAAUGAAGAAAAUUUGGAUAAAUAAAAAACUCCAAUGUAGUAGUUGUGACUUGUGGCUGAAAACAUAAGUAAAAAUUCAAAAAAAAUAAAAAUAAAUCCAGCAUUCAUCCAGACAACACAAAGGGAAAACAAAGAAUAGAAAACUUGAGUAAGACAUUAUUUGCUCCAUGCAUUUUAGCACUUAUGCUUUCAUUUAACAUCUUACUGUAUUUCCACGUUGUCAGUAUUCCAUUAACAGUUACUUGCAGAAGCUUUAAUGUCAACAUCAACAAAGGAACUGAAAUCAUGUAAGAUACCAAGUUUUAUGAUACAAUAUCUUAUCAUAGUUAUAGAUGUUCUAUUCCUCUCGUUUUGCAGCUUUUGUACAUCUAAAUUGGCUGGUGAUGGAACAUAUAAAAUCUGUUAAGUCCUUCAUUAAGUCCUACAAUACGAAGAUAAAACAGAUGGGCUAUACCUUUAAAGAUUCGGGUGUGAAACCUGAUCUUUUGAAAGAUGUUACAAAUAGUUGACUUAAUUUUUCUGAGGUUAUGGAGCAACUUCAGUUUUGAUUGAAAUAUAGGUGAGAUUGUUGUUGUAGAACUCAAAAAUUACGUAUACACAUGUGACCAUUUAUUGAAGCUGCAACAUCUAUUCUUUAUUAUUUUAUAUGUUUUGUGAUGGUCGUUUUUCA